This is a long non-coding RNA of Xyrauchen texanus (razorback sucker), 643 nucleotides long. RefSeq lists it as uncharacterized. The transcript is spliced from 4 exons. The record is from RefSeq and is a predicted model, not a curated record. Lineage: Eukaryota; Metazoa; Chordata; Actinopteri; Cypriniformes; Catostomidae.
AUCAAACAUCAUGGCUGAGCACAGGCAUGCAGGUGGAUCUCAGGAUAUAUAUAUAUAUCCUCUGCCAACCUUGUCGCCUGAUGAAUGGGAAAUCUGCAGAGAAAUCGUGGAUAUUAUUCAUCCAUUUGAGGAGGUCACUACAGAAGUGAGUGCAGAAAAAUCCCUAUGGCUACCUAUGCGACUGCCAUGUGACAAAUGAUGGAAAGACUCAUACUUGAGACUUGAGAGUGUUUCCAGUCCCAGCCUGGGGUGUGUUUCCUGUACAACGAAGUAACUCACUGUGUAACCACUAUUGUACAAUGCAUCGUUGGAGAAAUGAACUAGCUUGUCAGGACUGUGUCCCGAAACCGUAGUAACUAUGUCACACAUCCAUCAUUCAAACCACUUUGGUUGAGCUGUCAUUAAUGACAUUACUCAGGGACUGGAGAUAUAACUUCUGCAAAUAUUAUAUUAUAAUAGCUCAUUCACAUGUACACCAGAAAGUUGUUUAAUGCGAGGAAGAUGCUGAAGACAGGAGAUCUGCAUGCACGGUGUAGAUACAUACACUGCAAUAGAUGGGUUUCCCACUACAUCAAACUUCGGGAUUCCCCCGACGCACUUGAGCACUACAUGCACAUUUGCACUCUUCAAAAAGUGUCAAAUC